RNAcentral lists this ribosomal RNA (414 nucleotides) under Triticum aestivum (bread wheat). Its description in RNAcentral is "partial small subunit ribosomal RNA". Lineage: Eukaryota; Viridiplantae; Streptophyta; Magnoliopsida; Poales; Poaceae. The record is from RNAcentral.
AUGACGAGCUCGACUACGGCAAGGAGGAGGAGGAGAAGCCGGCGCCUGUGCCAACGAGGAAAGGGAAAAAGAAGAAGCGAGGGGCCAGGACCGGUCGGCGACAGUCGGCGUACUCCACCCACCAGAUCCAUGCCGCCCCUGCCCAAAUCCUCUCCAUGUGCACCGCACCCAAUCCCUUCCUCGCUCGUCUCAUCCAUGGCCAGCUCCCCAUCCUCCUGCGGUUCCCCUCCCUUUCUUCCUUCUCCUCUCUCACGACACGCCGCCUGUCUCCAUCCCGCAUCCCCGCUGCCGCCACAGCCUCUCCAGGAGGCUGGCCCUCCGUGUUGCGAAGCAGCAGGCCAGGAUCUGGAGGAGGAAGAGGAGAUCUCGAGGUCUAGGAGGUGGCUCGGUCGAUGCGAGGUGAGUGGGAGGUGA